Molecule: long non-coding RNA, 737 nt
Organism: Scatophagus argus
Lineage: Eukaryota; Metazoa; Chordata; Actinopteri; Scatophagidae
Exons: 2
Source: RefSeq, a predicted model, not a curated record
UCUUCGUCUCUGUGCGUCAGUGAGUACGUGUUUUAAACCACAGCUCUUCUGUUGUGUUCACAGUUUGAUGGGCUCAGGAGGAACAGCAUAGGGGUGUAUAGAAAGAAGUAUGUCUCCAUGGCUGUUGCCUCUACCUCUCUGGCUAUACCCUGUGUCCUGUCGUGCUCAGACUCCAACACCAGCAAUGGGACGUGCCCCGUGGCCCCUGUUCCUCCGCUCAGCCCUGUCGAAGUUGAGAAGGCCGCCACCACCAUCCAGUCCCAUUUCAGGAAGUUCCAACAGAAGAAACACAAGAACGGCAAGUAGAUGGACAAAGAGAGACGGUGAGACACAACAGGAAGCAAGUGGGGACGUAUGUGGAUUCACCAAACGAUGGAUGAACUGAUUCUGUGAUGACAUACAAAAAUGCAUGUAUACACUCAUAUGCAAAUAUACAUACAUUCAAACUGUAAGAAAAACAGUGAGUAGAGCUCCCGGAUUAGUUACACAGUUUAAACAAUAACAUACAGUGAUAGAUUACAUCUCAAAGAGCUACAUGUAAUGCCCUAUUUAAAAUUCUAUGUGAAAAUACUGUGGAUCUGAAUGCACGUGUGUUUGUGAGCGACCGUUGAGCGUACUGUAUUUAUAUAUGACCAGUGUUUUGAGUAUGUAAAUAUGAAAAUGAAUAAUCAAAUAAUUUGUCAACAUUGUGGAUCUUUCAAAAACAAACACUUUGAAUAAACUCCUCUGUAAGCCUG